UACGGAGGAUGCGAGCGUUAUCCGGAUUUAUUGGGUUUAAAGGGUGCGUAGGCGGACUGUCAAGUCAGCGGUAAAAUUGGGAGGCUCAACCUCUUCCCGCCGUUGAAACUGGUGGUCUUGAGUGGAUGAGAAGUACGCGGAAUGCGUGGUGUAGCGGUGAAAUGCAUAGAUAUCACGCAGAACUCCGAUUGCGGAGGCAGCGUACCGGCAUCCAACUGACGCUGAGGCACGAAAGCGUGGGGAUCAAACAGG
RNAcentral lists this ribosomal RNA (252 nucleotides) under uncultured bacterium. RNAcentral's name for it is "partial 16S ribosomal RNA". It matches the Rfam family "Bacterial small subunit ribosomal RNA", at positions 524 to 776 of the family's 1533-position model. The record is from RNAcentral.